This is a long non-coding RNA of Cotesia glomerata, 425 nucleotides long. RefSeq lists it as uncharacterized. The transcript is spliced from 3 exons. The record is from RefSeq and is a predicted model, not a curated record. NCBI's taxonomy places the organism in Eukaryota, Metazoa, Arthropoda, Insecta, Hymenoptera, Braconidae.
UAAAAUAAUUACUCUUUACUCUGAUCGUCCAGUAUGGGCAUUGCUGUCGACUACUUGUAGUCAGUAAUAUUCUAUUUUUUACAUUAAAAUGUCUCAUCUCUUAAGCUGAAAAAAAAUUUCUGAUCGAAAAAUGUCCAAAUUCACGCCCCUGAUGAUUAUUGUAUUGUUUGUUCUUGGCACUGUGCUCGUUAACACUGUGGAGGGCGGGCCAUGUACUCUUUCUGAAUAUAGUUGUGACAAAAAUGAAGAUUGUUGCAGCAACAAAUGCGUUGAAGAUGAUGAUGAAAUGAUAUGUAAAGGAGAUGACAUGGAGCGUUACUCUGCAUCUUUAAAAAAUUAAGAUUGUUAUUAAUAAUUAAAAAUUAAAAAUUACGAGUAACGAUGUAAACAUUUAAGAAAUGAGUAAAUUUUAUUUGAAAUAAUAA